CUUAUCCUUUGAUGAGCC
This 18-nucleotide non-coding RNA is filed under the name Arabidopsis thaliana (thale cress). The record is from RNAcentral. Lineage: Eukaryota; Viridiplantae; Streptophyta; Magnoliopsida; Brassicales; Brassicaceae.